AGACGAUGUUUUGGGGCACUAGUCCUCUUCAUCUUCUUCCCGCAACGGAGCUCUACUCGAUUGCAUUGCAGUGCAGGUUGCUCACCAAUUUGGGGAUUGCAUUUCGUUGUUGGAUCGCACUAAGGUUCAAGUUCGUGCUCUUUCGAAUGUGCCGAAGGCUACUCUGGUCACAAUUGAGCAUCCUACUGAGGAUGAUUGGGAGGUUGUGAAGCUAAUUCUGAGCUUGCAAGGGCUGCAAUUUUGAAUCAGGUGAGGAUUCUUCAUGAAGAAAUGAAGUUUCCCUUGUGGUUGAACGGCCGCACUACCAUUACAUUUCAUGCAGCUUCAACCUUCCCGAAAAAAGCGUGCAACUGGUGCCAGGGACUGAAGUUGCAGUUGUUUCAUAGAGAGGCAAGACAGUCGGCCCACAUGGAGAUCGUUCCAUUCUCUCUCCAAAUCGAUGGAAUCAUAUUUCAAGGAGGCAAGAUCUUUCUGAUUCAGUUGCUAUUCACUUCGUCUUUAUUUGAGAACUUGUCUGCAUUCAUAUGCGUAUAUUCUACCCAAUGUGAUUGGAUUACUGUUUAGCUAUAAUUCAUAUAGGAUUACAGGCUCGAAUGCUAUUCGUUGGAACUGACAAAUGCUUUUGGUUCUUGUUCCUAUAUUUGGAUUUAAUCUUCUAAUUAUACAUUCAUGAUGCCUUUUAUCACACUGUUUCUUUCACAAUUAAUCAAAAAAGUUGGUGUCUUCCUGUGGAUUUUCCAUCCCUUCCUGUAUUAAGUGGCUAAUGGGGUAUGCUAAGCUUGCCACUUAACAAGAAAAUGUUAAGCAAAAUCAUUUAUAACCUUUCGUUGACAAAACUGAUUGUUUUAAUGAGCCUGCUCUCAUACCUGCUGGGGUAUAUUUAAAUGGAUGCAAUGGUGUUUUGAAGAAUGACAUUCCAUUGCUUUCAGUUUCUCCCUGCUGCUUUAAAAUAUUGAAAGACAAAGCUGCUGAAAGAAAUGGUCUAGAUGUUCUCAAUAGGCACAAACUUUGUGAUAAGAAAAACAUGUUUCUGACGACUGGCACAAGCACCUAUGUAGUUGUUGCAGAUUGGCCCCCAUGAGAAAGUUGUUACUGCUUUUCCAUAUGAAUAUUCUCGACAAGAGGAUGAAGAGGCGGCUUAGCAGUCUGACGAGUUAAAGGGAGUCUCAGAUUGGAAGUGAAAGGGCAUAAGUCUCAGAUUGAGGAAAAGGUACUGGAAUCAUCACAUGGAUCCCACAAAAACAAAACUAAGAAUGCUGAUCAACCAAUUGAAAUCUUAUGUGCAUGGAAGUUUUCCAGUGAAUCUCAACAUGCUGCCAGAAAUGCAUAUGAGCUUGAAGGUGGUCGAUCCUAAGAUGGCUGAUCCUGUGACCAUUAAUUCAGUUAGGGAGAGAACAUUUGGAAAAGACAUCAGUUCUGAUGCAUCACCUUUGUGUUGGAUGGAAACAAUUCCUUCUGACGUUUCAAACAGUAGGU
Long non-coding RNA from Malus domestica (apple), 1476 nucleotides. RefSeq lists it as uncharacterized. NCBI's taxonomy places the organism in Eukaryota, Viridiplantae, Streptophyta, Magnoliopsida, Rosales, Rosaceae. The record is from RefSeq and is a predicted model, not a curated record.